This is a non-coding RNA of Cinara cedri, 206 nucleotides long. The record is from the annotation of a GenBank genome assembly. Lineage: Eukaryota; Metazoa; Arthropoda; Insecta; Hemiptera; Aphididae.
CCAAGUUUACUAAAAUAUUUCAUACAUUUUUACGUUUUUCCUCCGUUUUUAUUUACUUACAUUUUAUUGGAAAAAAUAUCAGGAAAAUCAAAAAUAACCAUUUUAACAAUGUUUUGUUAUCAUUCAAAGUAGAUCAAAAUAUUAGGGAUAGUUUUUUAAGUAUCUACCAUGUGAGACAUCAAUAAAAAAGCAUAUAUAUCGUUUAU